UUUUUUAUUGGGUAAGCGUUGAUGUCACUCUGAUCAUAAAAGGAAGAUGUCUGUUGGUUUCUCCUACCAGCAUUUCUUAGCCCAGCAAAGAUGCCUGGACUAACAGGGAGGGCUGGGUUAUAAUGGAAAUAUCUCUCCUGAGAGGGGCAGUUAUAUGGACACUUGUUGACCCCUUACUGGUAGGAUGACUGGCAGUCACAGCCCACCUUGAUGUCUCUAUGUCAUGUUCAGUUCUUGGUAAUAUCGUCAUACGGGCCAGUUUAGGCGCGGAAAGAAGAGGUGAAGACAAUGAUUGAAAUUUAGUGUACACAGAGAAAAGGGCAGGAAAGACUUAACUGCAAUUAGAAAUAUCACUGAUUAGAAGACACUUGAUAAAAACACAGGGUGCCCUUGGAUAGGGGCCCUACAGUUGAGAACAGAGAACAAAAAAACAAAAAGGAGGGGCCGAGACUAACUGAAGCCCCUUCCAGGUUCCUUGACAGCCCAGACCAUCUUGAUGAUUGAAAUAUACAAAUUCAGAUUUUAAGACGCCCUCCAUACUGGAGUCAGAUUUGCAAAGCUUCUUCCGUGAGCAGGCUUGAAAGUGACUUUAUGACAUCACUCCUGCAGAAGAUGGUAGAACUCUUCAAUCCAGAAUUUUCUUUUCUGUCCACCCUCCCUCUCUUCCUUGUGUUCUGUUUCUCAUCCUGCCAUCCACAUUUGUGCAGCUCUGGGGCUGGAUUGGGGGUGCUUUCUCAUUAAAAAGAAGCCCCCAGACCAUGUAUCACCAAGGAAAAUGAAAAAACUGAAGCCAUCAGUGGUUCGAACACUCCCUGAAGGGCGUGGAGAGCUGUUACACCAUUAUUGCCUUCCUAGUGGGGAAAUGAUCUCUAGGAUUCAGCAUCCCAGAACUGUUGUCCAAGAUUUCCCUGAAAGAAAAGAAGAAGGAAAAAAAAAAAGCCUGCAGCCUCAGGUUUCAAAAACUCCCAAGUACAGAUGGGCAAAUAAAGAAGGGAACUAAUUUUGUUUCUGUAAUUCCUAUAGAUUUUCAAGUUGUUUUUAAGUAUUUGAAGAACCUCAUUGUGAGGACAGUUCUUUUUAUCUCCG
This 1086-nucleotide long non-coding RNA is filed under the name Ovis aries (sheep). RNAcentral's name for it is "lncRNA (ENSOARG00000026221.1)". Lineage: Eukaryota; Metazoa; Chordata; Mammalia; Artiodactyla; Bovidae. The record is from RNAcentral.